UACGUAGGGAGCAAGCGUUGUUCGGAAUUAUUGGGCGUAAAGAGCGCGUAGGCGGCUUGGCAAGUCUGGUGUGAAAUCUCACAGCUCAACUGUGAAACUGCAUCAGAAACUGCCUGGCUAGAGUGCGGGAGAGGAGAGUGGAAUUCCCAGUGUAGAGGUGAAAUUCGUAGAUACUGGGAGGAACACCGGUGGCGAAGGCGGCUCUCUGGACCGCAACUGACGCUGAGGCGCGAAAGCUAGGGGAGCAAACGGG
RNAcentral lists this ribosomal RNA (253 nucleotides) under uncultured bacterium. Its description in RNAcentral is "partial 16S ribosomal RNA". It matches the Rfam family "Bacterial small subunit ribosomal RNA", at positions 524 to 776 of the family's 1533-position model. The record is from RNAcentral.